GACGAACCGUCCUAACGUUGUUCGGAAUCACUGGGCUUAAAGGGCGCGUAGGCGGUCGGCAAAGUCAGGGGUGAAAUCUUUCGGCUCAACCGGAAAAGUGCCUUUGAAACUAGUCGGCUCGAGCGAGGUAGGGGCAUGUGGAACUUCCGGUGGAGCGGUGAAAUGCGUUGAUAUCGGAAGGAACGCCGGUGGCGAAAGCGACAUGCUGGACCGCUUCUGACGCUGAGGCGCGAAAGCUAGGGGAGCAAACGGG
This 253-nucleotide ribosomal RNA is filed under the name uncultured bacterium. RNAcentral describes it as "partial 16S ribosomal RNA". It matches the Rfam family "Bacterial small subunit ribosomal RNA", at positions 524 to 776 of the family's 1533-position model. The record is from RNAcentral.